Molecule: ribosomal RNA, 433 nt
Filed under: uncultured bacterium
Lineage: Bacteria
Description: partial 16S ribosomal RNA
Rfam family: Bacterial small subunit ribosomal RNA
Source: RNAcentral
AACGAACGCUGGCGGCAGGCCUAACACAUGCAAGUCGAGCGAGGACUUCGGUUCUAGCGGCGGACGGGUGAGUAACGCGUGGGAAUGUGCCCUUCUCUACGGAAUAGCCCUGGGAAACUGGGAGUAAUACCGUAUACGCCCUAUUGGGGAAAGAUUUAUCGGAGAAGGAUCAGCCCGCGUUGGAUUAGGUAGUUGGUGGGGUAAUGGCCUACCAAGCCGACGAUCCAUAGCUGGUUUGAGAGGAUGAUCAGCCACACUGGGACUGAGACACGGCCCAGACUCCUACGGGAGGCAGAAGUGGGGAAUCUUAGACAAUGGGGGCAACCCUGAUCUAGCCAUGCCGCGUGAGUGAUGAAGGCCUUAGGGUUGUAAAGCUCAUUCAGCUGGGAAGAUAAUGACGGUACCAGCAGAAGAAGCCCCGGCUAACUCCGUG